This 446-nucleotide ribosomal RNA is filed under the name uncultured bacterium. RNAcentral describes it as "bacterial SSU rRNA". It matches the Rfam family "Bacterial small subunit ribosomal RNA", at positions 329 to 792 of the family's 1533-position model. The record is from RNAcentral.
GUCCAGACUCCUACGGGAGGCCGCAGUGGGGAAUAUUGCACAAUGGGGGAAACCCUGAUGCAGCAACGCCGCGUGGGUGAAGAAGUAUUUCGGUAUGUAAAGCCCUAUCAGCAGGGAAGAGAAUGACGGUACCUGACUAAGAAGCCCCGGCUGACUACGUGCCAGCAGCCGCGGUAAUACGUAGGGGGCAAGCGUUAUCCGGAUUUACUGGGUGUAAAGGGAGCGUAGACGGCGAUGCAAGUCUGAAGUGAAAGGCGGGGGCCCAACCCCUGGACUGCUUUGGAAACUGUAUGGCUGGAGUGCAGGAGAGGUAAGUGGAAUUCCUAGUGUAGCGGUGAAAUGCGUAGAUAUUAGGAGGAACACCAGUGGCGAAGGCGGCUUACUGGACUGUAACUGACGUUGAGGCUCGAAAGCGUGGGGAGCAAACAGGAUUAGAUACCCUAGUA